Molecule: ribosomal RNA, 253 nt
Filed under: uncultured bacterium
Lineage: Bacteria
Description: partial 16S ribosomal RNA
Rfam family: Bacterial small subunit ribosomal RNA
Source: RNAcentral
UACGGGGGGUGCGAGCGUUAAUCGGAAUAACUGGGCGUAAAGGGCACGCAGGCGGACUUUUAAGUGAGGGGUGAAAUCCCCGGGCUUAACCUGGGAAUUGCAUUUCAUACUGGGAGUCUAGAGUACUUUAGGGAGGGGUAGAAUUCCACGUGUAGCGGUGAAAUGCGUAGAGAUGUGGAGGAAUACCGAAGGCGAAGGCAGCCCCUUGGGAAUAUAAUGACGCUCAUGUAAGAAAGCGUGGGGAGCAAACAGG